UGCGUCAUAUUUCGCGAAAAAUAAGGAAUCAUAAUCCUGGGGUCGGGGGUUCAAGUCCCUCUCCCGCUACCA
This 72-nucleotide transfer RNA is filed under the name Paramagnetospirillum caucaseum. RNAcentral describes it as "Magnetospirillum caucaseum tRNA-Met". Lineage: Bacteria; Pseudomonadati; Pseudomonadota; Alphaproteobacteria; Rhodospirillales; Magnetospirillaceae. The record is from RNAcentral.